GUGUUCACUUUGGCAGCACAUGCACAAAAAUUGGAACAAUACAGAGAAGAUUCAUAAGGUGUCUGCGCAAGGAUGACAUACAAAUUUGUGAGGUGUUCCACAUAAAA
This is a small nuclear RNA of Macaca fascicularis (crab-eating macaque), 107 nucleotides long. Lineage: Eukaryota; Metazoa; Chordata; Mammalia; Primates; Cercopithecidae. The record is from Ensembl.